AUGCUUGACACACGCGGCAUGGAUUUCUCUGCUGUCAACCUCCCACCUGGCACCAACAAUACACAAGUUGCCAUUCUGGAGGCAGGGAAAGGAAGGAUUGGGAUGUUUAUUAAUCAGGAUAUGACAAAUGAAGUCAGUUAUAAUCUGUUGCAAAAUGAUGGAGAUGGUGCAAUGUUUCAGUGGCUGUCAGAGGCAAUGUUCAAUUUACCCGAAAAUAAUCGCUAUUUGCUCUUGGGCAUAGCCGGGGGAUACUUACUCCUACAAGGGCUUCCAGGAGACCGGCAUUCAUCCUCUUUGGCCGAAAAGGAAGACCCGAACGUUUUUUCGCUGAAUCUGAAGACUUUACAGCUGGAGUGGUUCCUUGCAUCAAAGUACAACAACUUCGAUGCUGAUUUGUUUGCCGGUUUCCCACCAUCCUUGUCUCUGCCAACUCUUUGA
This 438-nucleotide ribosomal RNA is filed under the name Triticum aestivum (bread wheat). RNAcentral's name for it is "partial small subunit ribosomal RNA". The record is from RNAcentral. Lineage: Eukaryota; Viridiplantae; Streptophyta; Magnoliopsida; Poales; Poaceae.